RNAcentral lists this ribosomal RNA (501 nucleotides) under uncultured Staphylococcus sp. RNAcentral describes it as "bacterial SSU rRNA". It matches the Rfam family "Bacterial small subunit ribosomal RNA", at positions 944 to 1443 of the family's 1533-position model. The record is from RNAcentral. Lineage: Bacteria; Bacillati; Bacillota; Bacilli; Caryophanales; Staphylococcaceae.
GUUUAAUUNGAAGCAACGCGAAGAACCNUNNCCAAAUCUUGACAUCNUCUGACCCCUCUAGAGAUAGAGUUUUCCCCUUCGGGGGACAGAGUGACAGGUGGUGCAUGGUNGUCGUCAGCUCGUGUCGUGAGAUGUUGGGUUAAGUCCCGCAACGAGCGCAACCCUUAAGCUUAGUUGCCAUCAUUAAGUUGGGCACUCUAAGUUGACUGCCGGUGACAAACCGGAGGAAGGUGGGGAUGACGUCAAAUCAUCAUGCCCCUUAUGAUUUGGGCUACACACGUGCUACAAUGGACAAUACAAAGGGUAGCGAAACCGCGAGGUCAAGCAAAUCCCAUAAAGUUGUUCUCAGUUCGGAUUGUAGUCUGCAACUCGACUAUAUGAAGCUGGAAUCGCUAGUAAUCGUAGAUCAGCAUGCUACGGUGAAUACGUUCCCGGGUCUUGUACACNCCGCCCGUCACACCACGAGAGUUUGUAACACCCGAAGCCGGUGGAGUAACCAUU